GGGGGCCUAUACAUGCAGUCGACGAGAUUCAGGAGCUUGCUCUUCAUGAAAGUGGCGCACGGGUGCGUAACACGUAUGCAACCUACCUUCAAUUGGGGGAUAGCCUUCCGAAAGGGAGAUUAAUACCGCAUAAGAUAUUAGAAUGGCAUCAUUCAGAUAUUAAAACUUUGGUGAUUGAAGAUGGGCAUGCGUUGCAUUAGCUAGUUGGUAAGGUAACGGCUUACCAAGGCUACGAUGCAUAGGGGAUCUGAGAGGAUGGUCCCCCACACUGGUACUGAGAUACGGACCAGACUCCUACGGGAGGCAGCAGUAAGGAAUAUUGGUCAAUGGAGGGAACUCUGAACCAGCCAUGCCGCGUGCAGGACGACGGCCCUAUGGGUUGUAAACUGCUUUUGUCAGGGAAUAAAUCAUUUUACGUGUAGAAUGUUGAAGGUACCUGAAGAAUAAGGAUCGGCUAACUCCGUGCCAGCAGCCGCGGUAAUACGGAGGAUCCAAGCGUUAUCCGGAUUUAUUGGGUUUAAAGGGUGCGUAGGCGGUAAAUUAAGUCAGAGGUGAAAGCCUGCAGCUCAACUGUAGAACUGCCUUUGAUACUGGUUUACUUGAGUACAGAUGAAGUGGGCGGAAUGUGACAAGUAGCGGUGAAAUGCAUAGAUAUGUCACAGAACACCGAUUGCGAAGGCAGCUCACUAAAGUGUAACUGACGCUGAGGCACGAAAGCGUGGGGAUCAAACAGGAUUAGAUACCCUGGUAGUCCACGCCCUAAACGAUGAUUACUCGCUGCCGGCGAUAUACAGUCGGCGGCUAAGCGAAAGCGUUAAGUAAUCCACCUGGGGAGUACGGUCGCAAGAUUGAAACUCAAAGGAAUUGACGGGGGCCCGCACAAGCGGAGGAGCAUGUGGUUUAAUUCGAUGAUACGCGAGGAACCUUACCCGGGCUUGAAAGUUAGUGAAUGAUUUAGAAAUAGAUCAGUGAGCAAUCACACGAAACUAGGUGCUGCAUGGCUGUCGUCAGCUCGUGCCGUGAGGUGUUGGGUUAAGUCCCGCAACGAGCGCAACCCCUAUGAUUAGUUGCCAGCAUUAAGAUGGGGACUCUAAUCAGACUGCCUACCGCAAGUAGA
RNAcentral lists this ribosomal RNA (1117 nucleotides) under bacterium. RNAcentral's name for it is "bacterial SSU rRNA". It matches the Rfam family "Bacterial small subunit ribosomal RNA", at positions 42 to 1166 of the family's 1533-position model. The record is from RNAcentral.